UGGUGACAAUGGCAAGGAGGUCACACCUGUUCCCAUGCCGAACACAGAAGUUAAGCUCCUUAGCGCCGAAGGUAGCAGACUAACGUUCUAAAGCAAAACAGUGAUUGAAAAUCACAUGUUUUACU
RNAcentral lists this ribosomal RNA (125 nucleotides) under Staphylococcus warneri. Lineage: Bacteria; Bacillati; Bacillota; Bacilli; Caryophanales; Staphylococcaceae. The record is from RNAcentral.